GUAGGUGGCAAGCGUUGUCCGGAAUUAUUGGGCGUAAAGCGCGCGCAGGCGGUUCUUUAAGUCUGAUGUGAAAGCCCACGGCUCAACCGUGGAGGGUCAUUGGAAACUGGAGAACUUGAGUACAGAAGAGGAAAGCGGAAUUCCACGUGUAGCGGUGAAAUGCGUAGAGAUGUGGAGGAACACCAGUGGCGAAGGCGGCUUUCUGGUCUGUAACUGACGCUGAGGCGCGAAAGCGUGGGGAGCAAACAGGAUUAGGUACCCUGGUAGUCCACGCCGUAAACGAUGAGUGCUAAGUGUUAGGGGGUUUCCGCCCCCUUAGUGCUGCAGCUAACGCAUUAAGCACUCCGCCUGGGGAUACGGCCGCAGGCUG
Molecule: ribosomal RNA, 370 nt
Filed under: uncultured organism
Description: partial 16S ribosomal RNA
Rfam family: Bacterial small subunit ribosomal RNA
Source: RNAcentral